Molecule: ribosomal RNA, 524 nt
Filed under: uncultured bacterium
Lineage: Bacteria
Description: partial 16S ribosomal RNA
Rfam family: Bacterial small subunit ribosomal RNA
Source: RNAcentral
GACGAACGCUGGCGGCGUGCCUAAUACAUGCAAGUCGAACGAAGCUGUUUUAACUGGUGCUUGCACCGACUUAAACAACUGAGUGGCGAACGGGUGAGUAACACGUGGGUAACCUGCCCCAAAGCGGGGGAUAACAUUUGGAAACAGAUGCUAAUACCGCAUAAUCACAGAAACCACAUGGUUUCUGUGUCAAAGAUGGUUUCGGCUUUCACUUUGGGAUGGACCCGCGGCGUAUUAGCUAGUUGGUAAGGUAAUGGCUUACCAAGGCAAUGAAACGUAGCCGAACUGAGAGGUUGAUCGGCCACAUUGGGACUGAGACACGGCCCAAACUCCUACGGGAGGCAGCAGUAGGGAAUCUUCCACAAUGGACGAAAGUCUGAUGGAGCAACGCCGCGCGAGUGAAGAAGGUUUUCGGAUCGUAAAACUCUGUUGUCAGAGAAGAACGUGUGCGAGAGUAACUGUUCGUGCAGUGACGGUAUCUGGCCAGAAAGCCACGGCUAACUACGUGCCAGCCGCCGCCGUAA